RNAcentral lists this unclassified non-coding RNA (342 nucleotides) under soil metagenome. RNAcentral's name for it is "partial contains 5.8S ribosomal RNA, internal transcribed spacer 2, and large subunit ribosomal RNA". The stretch from base 1 to 120 matches the Rfam family "5.8S ribosomal RNA", at positions 35 to 154 of the family's 154-position model. The record is from RNAcentral.
GAUGAAGAACGUAGCGAAAUGCGAUAAGUAAUGUGAAUUGCAGAAUUCAGUGAAUCAUCGAAUCUUUGAACGCACAUUGCGCCCGCCAGCACUCUGGCGGGCAUGCCUGUUCGAGCGUCAUUUCAACCAUCAAGCCCCCAGGGGCUUGUGCUGGGGCCCUGCGGCUGCCCGCAGGCCCUGAAAACCAGUGGCGGGCUCGCUAGUCACACCGAGCGCAGUAGCACAUCUCGCUCAGGGCGUACGGCGGGCUCCUGCCGUGAAACCCCCCACUGUAACCCCAAAGGUUGACCUCGGAUCAGGUAGGAAUACCCGCUGAACUUAAGCAUAUCAAUAAGCGGAGGA